UGGGGAAUAUUGGGCAAUGGGCGCAAGCCUGACCCAGCAACGCCGCGUGAAGGAAGAAGGCUUUCGGGUUGUAAACUUCUUUUCUGAGGGACGAUAGUGACGGUACCUCAGGAAUAAGCCACGGCUAACUACGUGCCAGCAGCCGCGGUAAUACGUAGGUGGCAAGCGUUAUCCGGAUUUACUGGGUGUAAAGGGCGUGUAGGCGGGACUGCAAGUCAGAUGUGAAAACCAGAGGCUCAACCUCUGGCCUGCAUUUGAAACUGUAGUUCUUGAGUGUUGGAGAGGCAGGCGGAAUUCCUAGUGUAGCGGUGAAAUGCGUAGAUAUUAGGAGGAACACCAGUGGCGAAGGCGGUCUGCUGGACAGCAACUGACGCUGAGGCGCGAAAGCGUGGGGAGCAAACAGG
This 404-nucleotide ribosomal RNA is filed under the name uncultured bacterium. Its description in RNAcentral is "bacterial SSU rRNA". It matches the Rfam family "Bacterial small subunit ribosomal RNA", at positions 355 to 776 of the family's 1533-position model. The record is from RNAcentral.